This 292-nucleotide ribosomal RNA is filed under the name uncultured bacterium. RNAcentral's name for it is "partial 16S ribosomal RNA". It matches the Rfam family "Bacterial small subunit ribosomal RNA", at positions 505 to 796 of the family's 1533-position model. The record is from RNAcentral.
GUGUCAGCAGCCGCGGUAAAACGUAGGAUCCGAGCGUUAUCCGAAUUCACUGGGCGUAAAGCGCGUGCAGGCGGCCCGAUAAGUUAGGUGUGAAACCUCCCGGCUCAACUGGGAGAGGACGCUUAAGACUGUCGGGCUCGAGGGUGGUAGAGGGAGGUGGAAUUCCCGGUGUAGUGGUGAAAUGCGUAGAUAUCGGGAGGAACACCAGUGGCGAAAGCGGCCUCCUGGACCACAUCUGACGCUCAGACGCGAAAGCUAGGGGAGCAAACGGGAUUAGAAACCCUUGUAGUCC